AGACAGGUGCUGCAUGGCUGUCGUCAGCUCGUGUUGUGAAAUGUUGGGUUAAGUCCCGCAACGAGCGCAACCCUUAUCCUUUGUUGCCAGCGGUUAGGCCGGGAACUCAAAGGAGACUGCCAGUGAUAAACUGGAGGAAGGUGGGGAUGACGUCAAGUCAUCAUGGCCCUUACGAGUAGGGCUACACACGUGCUACAAUGGCGCAUACAAAGAGAAGCGACCUCGCGAGAGCAAGCGGACCUCAUAAAGUGCGUCGUAGUCCGGAUUGGAGUCUGCAACUCGACUCCAUGAAGUCGGAAUCGCUAGUAAUCGUGGAUCAGAAUGCCACGGUGAAUACGUUCCCGGGCCUUGUACACACCGCCCGUCACACCAUGGGAGUGGGUUGCAAAAGAAGUAGGUAGCUUAACCUUCGGGAGGGCGCUUACCACUUUGUGAUUCAUGACUGGGGUGAAGUCGUAACAAGGUAACCGUAGGGGAACCUGCGGUUGGAUCAC
RNAcentral lists this ribosomal RNA (494 nucleotides) under Enterobacter hormaechei. RNAcentral describes it as "bacterial SSU rRNA". It matches the Rfam family "Bacterial small subunit ribosomal RNA", at positions 1032 to 1526 of the family's 1533-position model. RNAcentral also lists the same sequence under 1 other name. The record is from RNAcentral. Lineage: Bacteria; Pseudomonadati; Pseudomonadota; Gammaproteobacteria; Enterobacterales; Enterobacteriaceae.